RNAcentral lists this ribosomal RNA (1662 nucleotides) under uncultured crenarchaeote. RNAcentral describes it as "bacterial SSU rRNA". The stretch from base 1 to 1374 matches the Rfam family "Archaeal small subunit ribosomal RNA". The record is from RNAcentral. Lineage: Archaea; Thermoproteati; Thermoproteota.
AGUCAACAUGCCCAGAGGACGUGGAUAACCUCGGGAAACUGAGUCUAAACCGCGAUAAGUGAGGAUUUCUGGAAUGGUUCCUGACUAAAAUCUAUAUGGCCUCUGGAUUGGACUGCGGCCGAUCAGGCUGUUGGUGAGGUAAUGGCCCACCAAACCUGUAACCGGUACGGGCUCUGAGAGGAGGAGCCCGGAGAUGGGCACUGAGACAAGGGCCCAGGCCCUAUGGGGCGCAGCAGGCGCGAAACCUCUGCAAUAGGCGAAAGCCUGACAGGGUUACUCUGAGUGACUUUCGCUAAGAAAGUCUUUUGGCACCUCUAAAAAGGGUGCAGAAUAAGGGGUGGGCAAGUCUGGUGUCAGCCGCCGCGGUAAUACCAGCACCCCGAGUGGUCGGGACGAUUAUUGGGCCUAAAGCAUCCGUAGCCGGUUCUGCAAGUCCCCCGUUAAAUCCAGCUGCUCAACAGAUGGGCCGCGGAGGAUACUACAGAGCUAGGAGGCAGGAGAGGCAAGCGGUACUCAGUGGGUAGGGGUAAAAUCCGUUGAUCCAUUGAAGACCACCAGUGGCGAAGGCGGCUUGCCAGAAUGCGCUCGACGGUGAGGGAUGAAAGCUGGGGGAGCAAACCGGAUUAGAUACCCGGGUAGUCCCAGCCGUAAACGAUGCAGACUCGGUGAUGGGUUGGCUUCGCGCUAACCCAGUGCCGCAGGGAAGCCGUUAAGUCUGCCGCCUGGGUAGUACGGUCGCAAGACUGAAACUUAAAGGAAUUGGCGGGGGAGCACCACAAGGGGUGAAGCCUGCGGUUCAAUUGGAGUCAACGCCGGGAAUCUUACCGGGGGCGACAGCAGAAUGAAGGUCAAGCUGAAGACUUUACCAGACAAGCUGAGAGGAGGUGCAUGGCCGUCGCCAGCUCGUGCCGUGAGGUGUCCUGUUAAGUCAGGUAACGAGCGAGACCCCUGCUUCUAGUUGCUACUCCUGUUCUCCGGAAUAGGAGGGCUAAUUAGAAGGACUGCCGCCGCUAAGGCGGAGGAAGGAGGGGGCUACGGCAGGUCAGUAUGCCCCGAAACCCUCGGGCCACACGCGGGCUGCAAUGGUAAGUACAAUGGGUACCAAUUCCGAAAGGAGGUGGCAAUCUCGCAAAACUUACCUCAGUUAUGAUUGAGGGCUGAAACUCGCCCUCAUGAAUAUGGAAUCCCUAGUAACCGCGUGUCAUCAUCGCGCGGUGAAUACGUCCCUGCUCCUUGCACACACCGCCCGUCGCUUCAUCGAAGUUGGUUUUAGGCGAGGUGGUGCCAUGUUGGCACUAUCGAACCUGAGGUCAGCAACGAGGGAGAAGUCGUAACAAGGUGGCCGUAGGGGAACCUGCGGCCGGAUCACCUCCUUAAAAUAGAGGCCGGAUGCCAAUGUGUAAAGGGGUAUGUAACCACAACUCCAGAUAUGCAAUUUCCCCUGAAAUAUAGGGGAAAUGAAGGACUUAGUAAGUGAGAACUUACAAUGACCGUCAUGCAAAGGAACAAGUAAAUUCGCUCUGAUUAAUAGGAAAUUUUUCCUAAUCGACAGAGAAGUGGCACACUGAAGGUACUGAAGUUCGCGUAGAACUUAAAGGAUGACCAAAGUCAAAGCUAACUUUAGAUUCAUAUACUGGUGCAAAGACGCCGGUUGGAGGAUGA